RNAcentral lists this long non-coding RNA (5104 nucleotides) under Triticum aestivum (bread wheat). RNAcentral's name for it is "long non-coding RNA (TAES_LNC005029)". The record is from RNAcentral. Lineage: Eukaryota; Viridiplantae; Streptophyta; Magnoliopsida; Poales; Poaceae.
UUUCCACAAAUACACAGCAACAAAAAAUAAAAUAAAAAGUCGAGAAAAAUAUAGACCACAAACAUAGUGGACAUCCACGAGACAACACACGAGUAGCAAAAUCCAGUCUCUCCCGGGGCAGCUAGCCAACAGGUUGCGAACAGCAAACGAAGCUACUCUGCAGGCACGCUUUCCGGCAAACAUACUCCUGACACGAAAAAUCUUGGUCGUAAAAGGCUCUAUUUAUACUACUACUGACACGUGAACCAUUGACGCGUGCAACAAGCAACGUAAAUGAGUAUACUUUGACGAGGAGCGGCCGGUUAAUAGUCAAACGUGAUGCCUAAUUAGCUUGCCAAUUACUACAACGACCGCGGAAAUUUGGAUUUGGACCGAGCUACUAGUUCCUUGGCAGUGAGUAUUUAUAUGGAGCGGCUACAGGUUAAUCGACUGAUUGUAGAAUGUGGUCAGUCGAUUACUACAACAAAGGAAAAGAAAAGAGGACAGAAGAAAACUGACUGACCCAAAGUUAGGGUCAGUCGAUCAGCCCAACAACCAAACUGGCUGAAAAAAAAUUCUCUUGCCCUCUUCUGCCUUCUGUCCAGCCCAAAAAAAAGGGCCUGGCAAUAUGUGACGACCUGGCAAUUCGGUGUUUUGAUUUUGAUUUUGAUAUCUUGAAAAUUCUCUUGCCCUCUUCUGUCUUCUAUGUUUUGAUUUUGCUACUGCAUCUUAUGUGACGACCUGACAUAUUCAGAAUUUAAAAACAGAACACCUCCCUAAAGGCAGAAUUUAAAAAUGCCAAGAAGGAAUUGAAUUUGCAUAUUCAGAGAACUAAACUUGCAGUUGUUGACCAAAAGCAACAUACAAAGAAGUAUAGUGCUAGCAUGCAUACAUAUGUACAAAAAGAUAACCACAAGAUCUACACCUAGUUGUACUACAAAUUGUUUAACUACAGUUAAAGCAGAACCCCAUCCUGAAAUCAGAAUCUAAAUUUCCAUGCAUAUACUGAAUUUGCAUAUUCAGAGAACUAAAUUUGCAGUUGUUGACCAAAAGUAACAUACAAUAAAGUAUAGUGCUAGCACGCAUACAUAUGUACAAAAAGAUAACCACAAUAUUUUGACAAUUUUCACCUAUUUGUACUACAAAAUGUUUAACUACAGUCAAGGCAGAACACCUACCUGCAGGCAUAAUCUGAAAAUUGCAUGCACAUACUGAAUUUGCACAAUCAGAAAACUAAACUUGCAGUUGUUGAUCAAAAGCAACAUAGAAAGAAGUGUAGUGCGAGCAUGCAUAGAUAUGUAUAAAAAUCACCUAGUUAUACUAGAAAAAUUGUUAAACUACAGUUAAGGCUGAACACCUCCCUGAAGCCAUAAUCUAUAAUAUCCAUGAACUGACUAAAUUUACAUAUUCAGAAAACUAAGCUUGCAGUUGUUGUUGAGUAGCAACAUAGAAGAACUAUACUAUGAGCAUGCAUACUACAGCAUCUUGACCUGCUUGUGCUAGAAAUUAUUUAACUACAAGUAAAAUCAGAACAACACUCUCAUGGCAGAAUUUUAAAUUUGCAUAUUCAGAGAACUUAACUUUCACUUGUUCUUCAACAGCAACACGCAAGAACUAUAAAUACGAGCAUGCAUACAUACUUACAGAAAUAUAACUAUCACAUCUAGGGCUAAAGAAGUUGUCAAAGUAAAAGUUUCUAGCACAUACUUGUUGAUAUGCAGUACAGCUCCCUAAAGAAGUUAUCUAUGUUGAAAUUAAAUGUGCAUAUUCAGAGAGAUAACCAUAACAAGAACAAGUCAACACAAAAAAACCCAAGAAAUAUAGAAAACAACUUCAAAAGAGAAAGGAUCGAUGUACUUGCAAAAAUCUACCUAAACCUAAUUAUUGCAUUCUCAUUACUGCAAGUAAUAAAAUGCACGAGCAUGACUAUGAGUACAACUAUAAUUACAGCAAAAGCCUAAUUCAUAAAUUCAAAGACUACAAUUAAAAAUUGCAUGUUCAUCAUAUUAAACUUGCACACAUUUUACAACAGCAAGAUUCAUAUUAGCCUUGUUGAUAUGCUGAUUUAGGUUUUAUUGGAAGCAGAUACUUUGAUAUGUACAAAAGAAUUCAAGCUAUAUGUAAUACAGAGUACCUCACUGUAUUCACGAUUAUAACUAUACUUGCAUAAUUGAUCUAUAUCAACUGGAUUUAGAUCAUGGAAAGACAAAUUAUAGUUCCAUCUAUAUAACUAAUUACAAAGACAAUCGCGACAUAGGAUGGGAAACAACACCUAAAAUACACAGGUUUCAUAUUAGCCAUGAAAAAAUGCAGUGGCUAAGUAAACACAUACACAUAGAUUGGUAUCUACAAAAUAAGUCAAACUAUAAAAGAAAUGAUUAAUACAACUCACCAUCCUCCUGAAGCAUUCCUCAUCAAGGACAACAUAAACAACUUCAGGUACUUCAUCAAAGUCGGAACGGUGGAGGACUCGAACCCAAGGCCAUUACGUUUUUCUAUAGAUGAAUGAAUUUUGGGAAGCCUAUCACCCUUCCUGAAGAUUAAAAUCGAAAUCAUAAACAUAAGUGUAGACACAAAUUUUGUUGCCGUAGCAACCACUCCUAUUACAGUAUCCAACUAUUAUAACUACGAAAAAACAUACUGCUAAUGAAUCUAGUUAUCUUAAUUGCUGAUGCACGAUAAAGAAGUUGCACAGAAUAAGUAUCAGCAACAACACCAACAUGCAGUAGCAAAACAUAUUAGAGUAUAAAAUCUUGCUGACAGACUCCACUGUUGCGUCAGCGGACAAUUGCAAUAGCCACUGUUUUGGUUGUCAUGGCUGCCAGCCAUUAGCAUUACGAUUAACUUCCACAUGAUGACACUAAUUAUAUCAAAAUUGCAUUUCUAGGAUACAGAGAUUCAAAAUCAGAAGGAACAACUACACUCGAUCAAAAAGAAUUCUAUACAAGGUAAGCAACAGUGGUAUAAAAAUAGUUGUAGAGGCAUAGGUACUUUGCAUGCCAUGGAAGCCGUUAUGCUAUCAUUGCAUCAAUUAGUACUAUGCUUUCAUGUCAUAUCAAGAUAUUAAAAAGAUAAUUGCAUAUGCAACCUACAGAAGUUGCACAACUUCAUUAUGAGCAACAACAACUUCAUGGUGGAGCAGACCAUACUGUCAACAAGGUGAGGAACACUGAAUAAAAAUGGAUGCAGAGGCAGAAGUUUCAAAACUCUAGUUUAACUUACCCCCAAAAAAUAACUAAUAAUCUAAAAUUGCUUAUGUAGGUGCCAAAAAUUACACAACAGGAAUAUCAGCAAGUGCACUCUCAUGAUACAACCAACAAAAACACAAGGUAAGCAUCAGCAGUGACUAUAAUGUAAGGAAUUAGAUUUGCAUGCUGAAGUUGCUAGCAACAUGAAAAACCAUUGUUAUGGUUGCAAUAUAAUAAUUUUGAAAAACAAAAUUAUAAAACUAAGAAGUCUGAACAUUGCAUUUGCAGGUCCAAAGAGUUGUACAAAUAGAUAACUAGCAGAAAGGAUUAGUGGAGAAAGUUGUCGCCAAGGGAAAAUCACUUGCUCAGGUUGUGGCACUAUCAUAACAUUACAUGUUGCACAGAUGUCAGAAAAGAGACAUGGGAGAAAACAAAGAAGGAACGUUAACAUUAUUAUGGGAAGUAACUAUGAAGAAAAUCAGUAAUGAGCAUUGCAAAAAUAUGAAUUUUAAGAAACUAUAAACGACCAAAAUACCUAUAGGAAGUGGCGUUCCACAAAAUAUUUUCUACCUUGAAUUCCAACUUAUCUUCAAAGAUUGGAAAAGGACACUGUGACCUGCAACAAAACAAUAUCAGCAAGCUCAAAACCAUAGUUGUAGAAGUUUGAAAUAAACACAAGGAAAGAUUACAUGUUCAAAUUGACAAAGAUAGGGACAGAGUACCCCAACUUUUCAAAUUAGAAACAAAGAAGAUGACCACUACAUAGCCUACAAACAAAUUUAUAAUAGCCAAAUAAUAAAACGACAGACCAAAGUUUCGCCACUAAUUUCAAUGAUAUUCAGUAGUGGUCGCAAACAUUACACAACCAGAUUGCAAAAGAAAAUUCAACCUAGGUAACGAAGAGGUGACAGUUCAACUUGACAACAUGGGACAAACUACUACAAAAUCUAAAGACGACAUCGUACUAGCUGCCUAUAAGGCAUACAGUUCCAAAAGCAGACGCAAUAUGUCUUAAGACCAAGCUUGAACCAUACACUUCAAACAGAGCAGGAAGCCGCAGCAGCACCAGCAUCACCACCAGAUCCACUAGCAUCACCACCAGGAGUGUUAGUGGGGACUACACAGAACACCACGAUGUCCGAUGGAACAAAAGGAACUCGAAGCUGGGCUCUUGUCACUGUUGAUAUCUUCAAGACCUUGGGACAUAAACCCUUGCGAAAACUAAACAUAAAAACUAAUCAAAUGACAUGAAAAUUGCACACCAACAUAACUAACAAAAAAAAGACGCCACACCAAGUUUAUAUCAUUUUGAGAUGAAUAAUGUUAUUUAUCCUCAAAUAGAAGAGUUGAGAUACCACACCAAGUGGUCAAAUGGCACUUUCAGAGUCAAACAAAACCCACCUAAAUUCAGGCUUAACUAUGAAUCUAGUUGUACAACCAUUUGGUUGAAAUCUGUCAAGUGCAGACAGUUUAACAUUGACGAGGCUGACAAUUGUACAUGUUAGUAUCCUAGUUGCAGUCAAUGCUAGCUUCAGACAAUCGGUUACAGAGUUGCAGAAUAUGUCAAUUCAAAAGUUAAACGCCUUAAGUCAGAUAGAAAUUGACAAAAGAGAACUGAACCAUGCAUCAGAACACACUUGAUUAAGAGAAGGGACUGCAAUUUUAUUCCUUAAACAAAAUCAAUGUUGGUUCAGUCUUCAGGCUGGUGAUUUCAACGACUGUUCUCAAAGCUUCUUGUAUACCUAACCAAGAUCUAUAUAUUAUAGGGAGAAAUCAAAAGCAAAAAAGAAAUGGAAGAACACAUACCUAAAGCCUCCCCUAGCACACCUCACAGGAAGCAGAGAAAACCCUAACCAGUGACACCUCGAAAUCCCUGCAAAAUAGAUAUCAACAGAAACAACAAAUGAAUAACUUAAAAUAGCAAAUGUAUCAUANNN